Acanthosepion pharaonis is the source of this 114-nucleotide non-coding RNA. NCBI's taxonomy places the organism in Eukaryota, Metazoa, Mollusca, Cephalopoda, Sepiida, Sepiidae. The record is from the annotation of a GenBank genome assembly.
UUACGGCCAUAUCACGUUGAAAAUAACGGUUCCCGUACGAUCGUUGAAGUUAAGCAACGACGAUAAUGGUCAGUACCUAGAUGGGUGACUGCUUGUGAAUGCCAGGCGCUGUAA